Molecule: long non-coding RNA, 455 nt
Organism: Clupea harengus (Atlantic herring)
Lineage: Eukaryota; Metazoa; Chordata; Actinopteri; Clupeiformes; Clupeidae
Source: Ensembl
GCAGUAUACAGUAUAUUUGAGUUGAGGAAGGUGUGUGGUGUAUCUGCAGUAUAUUUGAGUUGAGGAAGGUGUGGAGGUAUCUACAGUAUAUUUGAGUUGAGGAAGGUGUGUGAGGUAUCUACAGUAUAUUUGAGUUGAGGAAGGUGUGUGAGGUAUCUACAGUAUAUUUGAGUUGAGGAAGGUGUGUGGUGUAUCUACAGUAUAUUUGAGUUGAGGAAGGUGUGGUGUAUCUGCAGUACAGUAUCUUUGAGUUGAGGAAGGUGUGGUGUAUCUGCAGUACAGUGUAUUUGAGUUGAGGAGAUCACACACGUGCUGAAUGGUUCAUACCGGAGUUGAGAGGACUGAUGGCAUGAAUAUGGUUAUCUGUCGCAUUCAGACUUGUGGAUUUGCCACAGUGUUGACGUGAGGCACCCUGGGAAGACAAUUAGCAUGUCCCAGGGAGAGACAGAGAGAGG